UACGUAGGGGGCUAGCGUUGUCCGGAUUUAUUGGGCGUAAAGGGUGCGCAGGCGGCCAAGUGUGUGAGGCGUGAAAGCCCGGGGCUUAACCCCGGAAUUGCACCUCAAACUACAUGGCUAGAGCAUUGGAGAGGGUAGCGGAAUUCACGGUGUAGCAGUGAAAUGCGUAGAUAUCGUGAGGAACACCAGAGGCGAAGGCGGCUACCUGGACAAUUGCUGACACUCAGGCACGAAAGCGUGGGGAGCAAAAGGG
This 253-nucleotide ribosomal RNA is filed under the name uncultured bacterium. RNAcentral describes it as "partial 16S ribosomal RNA". It matches the Rfam family "Bacterial small subunit ribosomal RNA", at positions 524 to 776 of the family's 1533-position model. The record is from RNAcentral.